RNAcentral lists this non-coding RNA (230 nucleotides) under Enterococcus sp. Its description in RNAcentral is "T-box sequence". It matches the Rfam family "T-box leader". Rfam says of the family: Uncharged tRNA acts as the effector for transcription antitermination of genes in the T-box leader family. T-boxes are found upstream of many aminoacyl-tRNA synthetase genes and some amino acid biosynthetic genes usually in Gram-positive bacteria. The record is from RNAcentral. Lineage: Bacteria; Bacillati; Bacillota; Bacilli; Lactobacillales; Enterococcaceae.
AAAAAAACAAAGAACAGAAGAGUACCUUUAUUCUUUUAUUUAAGAGAGUCUUUGGUUGGUGAAAAAAGACAUAAAGAUAAAGCGAACCACAUCUGGGAGUUGACUUUUUGAAUUUACAUGUAGGAAAGUUCGGGAGUGCCCGUUACAGCAUUAGGAGUCUAUGACUUCUUGAGGUUAUCAUUGUGAAAUGAUAAUAAAUAAAGGUGGAACCACGAUUUUACGUCCUUUGG